Prolemur simus (greater bamboo lemur) is the source of this 157-nucleotide small nucleolar RNA. The record is from Ensembl. NCBI's taxonomy places the organism in Eukaryota, Metazoa, Chordata, Mammalia, Primates, Lemuridae.
CUUUCUGCUUUUACUACCUUUUCUCCUAAUAAUAGAUUUUAGUGGCUGUGCUUAUGGGAUAGAUUAAAAUUGUCAUGAUCUGAAGAGAGAGGGGUUUUGUUUGUUUGUUUGUUUGAUUUUUGGUAUCCUUCUAUAUGAAAUGGCUGGACAGAAAUUU